AAGUCCAUGAUGUGGUCAAUUCUGUUGAAACUUCUAAUGCCUCUCCCAUGUCUCACAUAAUGAUUCGCCUUCCAACUGAGAAAAACUGGUUAUAUCCAUUAUUAAUUU
This is a small nucleolar RNA of Coffea arabica (coffee), 108 nucleotides long. The record is from RefSeq and is a predicted model, not a curated record. NCBI's taxonomy places the organism in Eukaryota, Viridiplantae, Streptophyta, Magnoliopsida, Gentianales, Rubiaceae.